AAAGAAAUAAAUCAAGAAGCUUCUAACUUCAUAAAGAGCAGAUAAUUUGUUCUU
This 54-nucleotide transfer RNA is filed under the name Scarelus sp. UPOL 000583. RNAcentral describes it as "partial tRNA-Ser". Lineage: Eukaryota; Metazoa; Arthropoda; Insecta; Coleoptera; Lycidae. The record is from RNAcentral.